UAAGGAAUAUUGGUCAAUGGACGCAAGUCUGAACCAGCCAUGCCGCGUGAAGGAUGAAGGUCCUCUGGAUUGUAAACUUCUUUUAUAGGGGGCGAAAAAAGGGAAAUCUUUCUCACUUGACAGUACCCUAUGAAUAAGCACCGGCUAACUCCGUGCCAGCAGCCGCGGUAAUACGGAGGGUGCAAGCGUUAUCCGGAUUCACUGGGUUUAAAGGGUGCGUAGGCGGGCGUAUAAGUCAGUGGUGAAAUCCUGGAGCUUAACUCCAGAACUGCCAUUGAUACUAUAUGUCUUGAAUAUGGUGGAGGUAAGCGGAAUAUGUCAUGUAGCGGUGAAAUGCAUAGAUAUGACAUAGAACACCUAUUGCGAAGGCAGCUUACUACGCCUAUAUUGACGCUGAGGCACGAAAGCGUGGGGAUCAAACAGGAUUAGAUACCCUGGUAGUCCACGCCCUAAACGAUGAUUACUCGACGUGUGCGAUAAACGGUACGCGUCUGAGCGAAAGCAUUAAGUAAUCCCACCCUGGGGAAGUACGACCGCAAGGUUGAAACUUAAAUGAAUUGACGGGGUCAUAGCUGUUUCCUG
This 582-nucleotide ribosomal RNA is filed under the name uncultured bacterium. Its description in RNAcentral is "partial 16S ribosomal RNA". It matches the Rfam family "Bacterial small subunit ribosomal RNA", at positions 355 to 1376 of the family's 1533-position model. The record is from RNAcentral.